RNAcentral lists this non-coding RNA (186 nucleotides) under Oryza sativa (Asian cultivated rice). Its record names the gene osa-MIR156f. RNAcentral also lists the same sequence under 1 other name. Lineage: Eukaryota; Viridiplantae; Streptophyta; Magnoliopsida; Poales; Poaceae. The record is from miRBase by way of RNAcentral.
AGUUGACAGAAGAGAGUGAGCACACAGCGGCCAGACUGCAUCGAUCUAUCAAUCUUCCCUUCGACAGGAUAGCUAGAUAGAAAGAAAGAGAGGCCGUCGGCGGCCAUGGAAGAGAGAGAGAGAGAGAGAUGAAAUGAUGAUGAUGAUACAGCUGCCGCUGCGUGCUCACUUCUCUUUCUGUCAGCU